Molecule: ribosomal RNA, 253 nt
Filed under: uncultured bacterium
Lineage: Bacteria
Description: partial 16S ribosomal RNA
Rfam family: Bacterial small subunit ribosomal RNA
Source: RNAcentral
UACAGAGGGGGCAAGCGUUGUUCGGAAUUACUGGGCGUAAAGGGCGCGUAGGCGGCCUUCUAAGUCGAACGUGAAAUCCCCGGGCUCAACCCGGGAACUGCGUCCGAUACUGGAAGGCUUGAAUCCGGGAGAGGGAUGUGGAAUUCCAGGUGUAGCGGUGAAAUGCGUAGAUAUCUGGAGGAACACCGGUGACGAAGGCGACAUCCUGGACCGGUAUUGACGCUGAGGCGCGAAAGCCAGGGGAGCAAACGGG